This 253-nucleotide ribosomal RNA is filed under the name uncultured bacterium. RNAcentral describes it as "partial 16S ribosomal RNA". It matches the Rfam family "Bacterial small subunit ribosomal RNA", at positions 524 to 776 of the family's 1533-position model. The record is from RNAcentral.
UACGAAGGGGGCUAGCGUUGUUCGGAUUUACUGGGCGUAAAGCGCACGUAGGCGGCUUUGUAAGUUAGAGGUGAAAGCCCGGGGCUCAACUCCGGAACUGCCUUUAAGACUGCAUCGCUUGAAUCCGGGAGAGGUGAGUGGAAUUCCGAGUGUAGAGGUGAAAUUCGUAGAUAUUCGGAAGAACACCAGUGGCGAAGGCGGCUCACUGGACCGGUAUUGACGCUGAGGUGCGAAAGCGUGGGGAGCAAACAGG